UCGGGAAUUUUGCCCAAUGGACGAAAGUCUGAGGCAGCAACUCCGCGUGAGGGAUGAAGGCUCUCGGGUCGUAAACCUCUUUUCUCAGGGAAGAUUCAAGACGGUACCUGAGGAAUAAGCCACGGCUAACUACGUGUCCAGCAGCCGCGGUAAUACGUAGGUGGCAAGCGUUGUCCGGAUUUACUGGGCGUAAAGAGCGCGCAGGCGGCUGGUCAAGUCCGAUGUGAAAUCUCCCGGCUCAACUGGGAAACUGCAUCGGAAAACUGAUCGGCUUGAACGGUGGGAGAGGGUAGUGGGAAUUCCCGGUGUAGUGGUGAAAUGCGUAGAUAUCGGGAGGAACACCAGUGGCGAAGGCGACUACCUGGCCCAUUCUUGACGCUGAGGCGCGAAAGCUAGGGGAGCGAACGGGAUUAGAUACCCCGGUAGUCCUAGCCGUAAACGAUGAACACUAGGCGUAGUCGGUAUCGACCCCGGCUGUGCCGUAGCUAACGCAC
RNAcentral lists this ribosomal RNA (494 nucleotides) under uncultured bacterium. Its description in RNAcentral is "bacterial SSU rRNA". It matches the Rfam family "Bacterial small subunit ribosomal RNA", at positions 355 to 860 of the family's 1533-position model. The record is from RNAcentral.